GAUGAACGCUGGCGGCGUGCCUAAUACAUGCAAGUCGAGCGAACGGACGAGAAGCUUGCUCCUCUGAUGUUAGCGGCGGACGGGUGAGUAACACGUGGAUAACCUACCUAUAAGACUGGGAUAACUUCGGGAAACCGUAGCUAAUACCGGAUAAUAUUUUGAACCGCAUGGUUCAAAAGUGAAAGACGGUUUUGCUGUCACUUAUAGAUGGAUCCGCGCUGCAUUAGCUAGUUGGUAAGGUAACGGCUUACCAAGGCAACGAUGCAUAGCCGACCUGAGAGGGUGAUCGGCCACACUGGAACUGAGACACGGUCCAGACUCCUACGGGAGGCAGCAGUAGGGAAUCUUCCGCAAUGGGCGAAAGCCUGACGGAGCAACGCCGCGUGAGUGAUGAAGGUCUUCGGAUCGUAAAACUCUGUUAUUAGGGAAGAACAUAUGUGUAAGUAACUGUGCACAUCUUGACGUUACCUAAUCAGAAAGCCACGGCUAACUACGUG
Molecule: ribosomal RNA, 497 nt
Filed under: uncultured bacterium
Lineage: Bacteria
Description: partial 16S ribosomal RNA
Rfam family: Bacterial small subunit ribosomal RNA
Source: RNAcentral